Molecule: long non-coding RNA, 243 nt
Organism: Beta vulgaris subsp. vulgaris (sugar beet)
Lineage: Eukaryota; Viridiplantae; Streptophyta; Magnoliopsida; Caryophyllales; Amaranthaceae
Exons: 2
Source: RefSeq, a predicted model, not a curated record
AUUAAUAAGUCGUCCUUUAUUAAUUCUUGAAUAGAUUAGAAAGGAAAAGGGAUAUUACAAGCCUCCCCCGGCUAUCAAGUAUAAUAAUCGCGACUCGAGGUACCGAUGGGGAUGACGGAAUGGCUUAGCAGUGAGGAAUUGAUAUUAGAAUGACUCAAACACUUAUAGUUUUUGUAACCUAAGUAGUUAGUUAGUUAAUUAACAUUAACGUUGUUCUACUUUAAUAUAAUAUAGUACGUUUAA